CCGACCCAGCCCUGCAUCAAUAUGGUCUCACUCGGGGAGCCGAGAGUUACCAGGUUGUCUUAGGAGGGACGAAUCAGCCCAGGGUGGAAACGCAGCAGGCAAAAGUCCCCAUGUCGCGCAGUAGUGGGAU
RNAcentral lists this signal recognition particle RNA (130 nucleotides) under Lottia gigantea (owl limpet). RNAcentral describes it as "metazoan signal recognition particle RNA". It matches the Rfam family "Metazoan signal recognition particle RNA", at positions 111 to 240 of the family's 299-position model. Rfam says of the family: The signal recognition particle (SRP) is a universally conserved ribonucleoprotein. It is involved in the co-translational targeting of proteins to membranes. Lineage: Eukaryota; Metazoa; Mollusca; Gastropoda; Lottiidae. The record is from Rfam by way of RNAcentral.